RNAcentral lists this ribosomal RNA (440 nucleotides) under uncultured bacterium. RNAcentral's name for it is "partial 16S ribosomal RNA". It matches the Rfam family "Bacterial small subunit ribosomal RNA", at positions 338 to 795 of the family's 1533-position model. The record is from RNAcentral.
CCUACGGGUGGCAGCAGGAGGGAAUAUUGCACAAUGGGGGAAACCCGGAAGCAGCAACGCCGCGUGGAGGAUGAAGGUUUUCGGAUGGUAAACUCCUUUUGGUAGAGAAGAAAAUGACGGUAUCUAACGAAUAAGCACCGGCCAACUCCGUGCCAGCAGCCGCGGUAAUACGGAGGGCGCAAGCGUUACUCGGAAGCACUGGGCGUAAAGAGAGCGUAGGCGGGAGAGCAAGUCAGAUGUGAAAUCCUAUGGCUUAACCCUAGAACUGCAUUUGAUACUGUUAUUCUAGAGUAUGGGAGAGGUAGGUGGAAUUCUUGGUGUAGGGGUGAAAUCCGUAGAGAUCAAGAGGAAUACUCAUUGCGAAGGCGACCUGCUGGAACAUAACUGACGCUGAUGCGCGAAAGCGUGGGGAGCAAACAGGAUUAGAUACCCGAGUAGUC